RNAcentral lists this unclassified non-coding RNA (279 nucleotides) under Hevea brasiliensis (rubber tree). Lineage: Eukaryota; Viridiplantae; Streptophyta; Magnoliopsida; Malpighiales; Euphorbiaceae. The record is from RNAcentral.
AAUAUAAAAUAUCAGUGCGUUACUGUACAACAAACGAAGCAGGCCCAAAAAGUUUAAAAUAAACACACACAAUUUACGCUUCAUUAGUCAAAUGAAAUGAUCCUCACGUUUCCUGAACAUUAUAUAGGUUUUUACUUCUUUAAUAUAUGGUGCUCGAUCACUAAUCCUACAAAAUUCUUAGUAAUGAAUCCACUGCCAUUGCUUCCAACAACCACCAGCCUCCAUGGCCACCACCAAAAACCUCUAACAAUCCCAAAUUCAGCAUAUGUUCAAAAUCAU